Molecule: long non-coding RNA, 509 nt
Filed under: Sorghum bicolor (sorghum)
Lineage: Eukaryota; Viridiplantae; Streptophyta; Magnoliopsida; Poales; Poaceae
Description: long non-coding RNA (SBIC_LNC007913)
Source: RNAcentral
CGUGACAAUUUUAGAAUUUUAUUUUUUUUUAGGUUUCAAGAACAACACAUGUAUAUAUGUAACGUUUUAUGCUAGGUACUUCGACGGACCCAAGGCAAUAUUUUCUAACUAAUGAUUUAGUAUUAGUGUACAUGGAGAAUAAAAUGAAAUGCUAUGUUUUUGUUUCAACAGGAUGCUAGCAGGCUUCGCAAGCUGAACAUUCCAUAACAAAUGAGUCUGUGUUAACUUAGUAUUAUUUUGACAUAAAGUGUUCCAUCCGAAUUGUAACUACUUGACGGUUCAAAAAUGGAUUAUUAAUUGCAAGUUGAAUCAGAUUUGAAAAUAUUGGACUGUUAUGAGAACUGUUAGUUAUUUUUUAGAGAUGGUUAGAAAAAAAAAGACAUAUUUGGAAAAACGUGAUACCUAAAAGAUCACUUUUAAGGAUGUUCAGAUAUAACAUGAGGUCUCUUUUUUUUUUCAAAAUUGUGAAAAGUUUUUGGUUUUUUGGGUGAAGACGUUAGGCCUUGUUU